UUAAAGUUUUAUUCUGGCUUUAAAUUAUCCUUUAAGAAUGUUUUAUAUAUGMGUUUUUUAUUUAAUAUUUCUUUUUAUAGUAUUUAUAUUUGAAUAUUAAGUUAUUUYAGAYUCAGUAAUUCUUAUAGUAAGGGCAAAUGUCGUGCCAGCAGCUGCGGUUAUACGUUAUUUUCUAGGAUAAUUUUUUYSSSGGCAGUUUAAUUGUUUGUUGGUUAUUUAUUUUAUAAUAUUUGGUGGAAUAWWAYYGUUUUAUAUUUUUCUUUUUUYUCUGCYAUAGCUAUUUUAUAAACUAGGAUUAGAUACCCYAUUAUUUUAGAUUUAAUUUUUUUCUCAGGGUAGUAUUAGAUUAUUUGAAACCUAAAGAAUUUGGCGGCAUUUUAUCUUUUUAGAGGAACCUGUUUUGUGAAUGAUAUUACACGAUUUGCUCUACUAAAUUAUUGGUUUGUAUAUUUCCGUUAUUAGAGGAUUUAUUGAUAAUAUUUUCUUGUUUUUUUUAAAAAUUGAUUUCAGGUCAAGGUGCAGCUUAUUUUUUAGUAAAUUAUGGGUUACAAUAAUUUAAUUUAUACGGAUAUUUUUUUUUAAAUUUUWAAUUGAAGGUGGAUUUAUUAGUAAUUUUUAAUAAUUAUUAAAUUUGAAUUAGUUAUAAUAUGUGUACAUAUCGCCCGUCACUCUCAUUUUUUGAGAUAAGUCGUAACAAAGUUGAUUAACUGGAAAGUUAAUCUGGAUUAU
This 729-nucleotide non-coding RNA is filed under the name Trachytettix bufo. The record is from RNAcentral. Lineage: Eukaryota; Metazoa; Arthropoda; Insecta; Orthoptera; Tetrigidae.